RNAcentral lists this ribosomal RNA (253 nucleotides) under uncultured bacterium. Its description in RNAcentral is "partial 16S ribosomal RNA". It matches the Rfam family "Bacterial small subunit ribosomal RNA", at positions 524 to 776 of the family's 1533-position model. The record is from RNAcentral.
UACGAAGGGGGCUAGCGUUGUUCGGAAUUACUGGGCGUAAAGCGCACGUAGGCGGACUACUAAGUCAGGGGUGAAAUCCCGGGGCUCAACCCCGGAACUGCCUUUGAUACUGAGAGUCUCGAGUCCGGAAGAGGUGAGUGGAAUUCCGAGUGUAGAGGUGAAAUUCGUAGAUAUUCGGAGGAACACCAGUGGCGAAGGCGGCUCACUGGUCCGGUACUGACGCUGAGGUGCGAAAGCGUGGGGAGCGAACAGG